RNAcentral lists this long non-coding RNA (201 nucleotides) under Phoenix dactylifera (date palm). Its description in RNAcentral is "long non-coding RNA (PDAC_LNC011797)". Lineage: Eukaryota; Viridiplantae; Streptophyta; Magnoliopsida; Arecales; Arecaceae. The record is from RNAcentral.
UAACUCAUGUUGGUUCACCCUCGACUGAUUAGGGAGGUUUCGAUUUAGGUCUCACUCGAUCGCGUAUUCACAUCUCAUGCAAAUAUAAGUCUACCCGCAUAAUCAUAAGCAUUAAACAUCCAGGUAUUUAUCAAAAAUAAAAUUAAAUGGUGAUGAUCAUGGAUCCAGGAUAGGGUCAUUUUACAAGCACAUGCACGUCAA